This 2365-nucleotide long non-coding RNA is filed under the name Lupinus angustifolius (narrow-leaved blue lupine). Its description in RNAcentral is "long non-coding RNA (LANG_LNC000619)". Lineage: Eukaryota; Viridiplantae; Streptophyta; Magnoliopsida; Fabales; Fabaceae. The record is from RNAcentral.
AGGAUCGUGUUCCUGUAUUCCCCGAUGGCCGUCCCAGAGAACAGUGGUAAUUUUCAGAAAAGCUCUCAAGCUUUGAGUUUUUUUCAUGCAAAAUGGCACCUGUCGUGGAAUUUGAUUUGGACUGGCUGAUUUGUAACUAAUGCUUUAUGCAAAGAGUUUGAUAGCUUGUAAGAAUAUAUAUAAUAUAUAUUCUGUUACUAAAAUGAGCAGCAUUCUUCAUUGCCCCUUCACAAUUCCUGAAUUUGCUCUAUGAACAACAAUGCAGCAUAUGUAACAACAGAUGCUACUCAGAAAUUUUCUGUAGAUGCUUAUAUCUAUAACUUGCUUUUACUGUAACGAUAUUUAUAUUUCUUUAGUUUAUAUGUUUUAUUAUAAGGAAGCUUUUGAUAGAUCUUUUUGUAAGGUACUUAAUGUUUUUAUGAAGCCAUUGUUUUUUCUCUUAUGUGUGGUAUUUUCAUUAGCAAGAAAGUAGAGACAGUAAAAUUGUAAUAUUAUAGUAUCUUUUAAUCAAAAUGAAGAAAAAUAACUACUUUCUUUGAUCUUAGUAAUUUAGUUAAAGUUGUCUUGUAAUAAAGACAAUAAGAAGUGUAUCUUGUUUUAUCACUUCCUUGUUUGUCAUGUUUGUCAUAUGUAUUAUGUGUCUACCUAUAUCACUAUAUACCAUUUACUUGGCAUUGGUCUAGUGGGGUAAGGCUUUGCUAGAUCCUCGGGAUGACCAAAAGGUCAAGAGUUCGAUUCCUGGGAGCGACACUUGUUAGGAGGGGCAGUCAUGGGCCUCGAAAAAGGAUUAGUUCCUUACUCAAAAAGGUGACGGGAUACUCUUGGUAGUACCAAAAAAAAUAAUUAUCUUGUAUUUAAUACUUGGAACUGCAUGAGGUUAAUGAAACCUAAUUGGGCCACCUAUCAGUAAUUCAGUAUAUUGAACCAAAAUUCAAAUGCUUAUGCAGAAUCUUCAAAAGUUUGCUAAAAUGCUCAACCUUGCAAAUGCUACAUGAGUUUUCAGAAUUACAAUAACAAGUUACAUGUCAAUACUUCUAAGUUACAUUCUUCUUCUAUAUGAAUAGAAGUUCAUCUCAUUCUUGCCUUCAAUAGUGCUGCCCUGACAUAAACCCAAUCUGCUAUGUUGUUCAAUAGCCUGAAAUAGUUAUGCCUCCAAGAAUCCUUAACAAGGAGAGAUAGUACCACUCCCCAAAAUGCAAUGAUGAAUCCAAGAACCAUGCUAAUAUAAAACCAUACUGAUAACAUGAACAAUCCUGUUUCACUAGUUUCCUUCUUCUCAGGAUCAGUCAUAAAAUCUGGUGAGUGAUUUUGAGUGGCACAUGGUGAUAAUGGUAUACCACAAAGGCCAGAGUUGUUUUCAUAUGAAGAUGAAGGGAAAGAGGGAAACUGGCCUUCAUAAGGAAUAGAACCUGUAAGGUUAUUAUUAGACACAUCAAGUGCAGUGAGAAAAGACAAUCUUCCUAAGGAACUAGGAAUGGAUCCUGAUUCUCAAUUGGUAGAUAAGGAUCGUUUAUUGCUCAUAAAGGAAAAGCUUCGUGCUCUUGUUAAUGUUCCACGGUUUUCCAAAGGACCCUCUCGCAGAAGAGUUGGAGAUGGCACGGAAGACAAUGAUGGACGAGAAGAUGAAGUUGAUGCUGAAGGAGAAGAAGAAUGGUCAGAUACUGAUAAUUUAAUAGAUGGUGAAUUUGACGACAAUGAUGAUGAUGAUGAUGAGUGGAGUGAUGAAGAUGAUGAUACACCACCAGAUUUUGACGAGGAUGUUGGAACACCGGAGAUUGGAAGAAGAAAGCUGAGUAAACAAGUUGAUGAGACGACACAGAAUGCUGAGAAGGAUCGUGUUCCUGUAUUCCCCGAUGGCCGUCCCAGAGAACAGUGGUAAUUUUCAGAAAAGCUCUCAAGCUUUGAGUUUUUUUCAUGCAAAAUGGCACCUGUCGUGGAAUUUGAUUUGGACUGGCUGAUUUGUAACUAAUGCUUUAUGCAAAGAGUUUGAUAGCUUGUAAGAAUAUAUAUAAUAUAUAUUCUGUUACUAAAAUGAGCAGCAUUCUUCAUUGCCCCUUCACAAUUCCUGAAUUUGCUCUAUGAACAACAAUGCAGCAUAUGUAACAACAGAUGCUACUCAGAAAUUUUCUGUAGAUGCUUAUAUCUAUAACUUGCUUUUACUGUAACGAUAUUUAUAUUUCUUUAGUUUAUAUGUUUUAUUAUAAGGAAGCUUUUGAUAGAUCUUUUUGUAAGGUACUUAAUGUUUUUAUGAAGCCAUUGUUUUUUCUCUUAUGUGUGGUAUUUUCAUUAGCAAGAAAGUAGAGACAGUAAAAUUGUAAUAUUAUAGUAUCUUUUAAUCAAAAUGAAGAAAAAUAACUACUUUCUU